Molecule: ribosomal RNA, 572 nt
Filed under: uncultured bacterium
Lineage: Bacteria
Description: bacterial SSU rRNA
Rfam family: Bacterial small subunit ribosomal RNA
Source: RNAcentral
ACGGGUGAGGAAUACGUGGGAAUCUACCCUCAAGCGGGGGACAACCAAGGGAAACUUUGGCUAAUACCGCAUAAUCUCGAGAGAGAAAAGCUGCCCGCAAGGGUGGCACUUGAGGAGGAGCCUGCGUCCGAUUAGCUAGUUGGUGGGGUAAGAGCUCACCAAGGCGAUGAUCGGUAACUGGUCUGAGAGGACGACCAGUCACACUGGGACUGAGACACGGCCCAGACUCCUACGGGAGGCAGCAGUGGGGAAUAUUGGACAAUGGGGGCAACCCUGAUCCAGCGAUGCCGCGUGAGUGAAGAAGGCCUUCGGGUCGUAAAGCUCUUUAGGUUGGGAAGAAGUGUAUGGGCUGAAUAAUCCUGUACAUUGACGGUACCGACAGAAUAAGCACCGGCAAACUCUGUGCCAGCAGCCGCGGUAAUACAGAGGGUGCAAGCGUUAAUCGGAUUUACUGGGCGUAAAGGGCGCGUAGGCGGUGAGAUGUGUGUGAUGUGAAAGCCCCGAGCUUAACUUGGGAAGUGCAUCGCAAACUAUCUGACUGGAGUAUAUGAGAGGGUGGCGGAAUUUCCGGU